CGACUCGACAGGCAGAAGGAUUGACGAGGGAAGAAAGAGGAGCGUUUCACUGCAAACGGAGGAUGCUAGUUUCUCAUUGGGUCUGGACUAGUCACAUGACCCGCCCCCACUCAUCACGUCACAGGAGAGAAGGGGAAAGCGAUGCAAACGUGUCCCAGCGCGCGUUAACAUCUUUAGUUCAGCAACUCAAAAAAGACGAGGAGGAGAGGAGAAAUCGAGCGAGGAGGGAGCAGGGGGUGUCCCGGGGCGGCCUGGUGGAAGUGGAGGCUUCAGACCCGGUUCUGACUCUCUCCUCUCCCAGCCCUGUGGAUCCGGACGGGGUCGAGGUCCAAGUGAACCUCCAGCCCGACUCGGCCGACCCGAGAGAAUGCUGUAUAAUUACAUUGUUAUAUCGUGCAAGAAUGCUGUACUGCUUUUUAAUUACAUUGUUAUUUUGUGUAAGAAUGCUGUAUAAUUACAUUGUUAUAUCGUGUAAGAAUGCUGUAUAAUUACAUUGUUAUAUCGUGUAAGAAUGCUGUAUAAUUACAUUGUUAUAUCGUGUAAGAAUGCUGUAUAAUUUCAUUGUUAUAUCGUGUAAGAAUGCUGUACUGCUUUUUAAUUACAUUGUUAUAUCGUGUAAGAAUGCUGUAUAAUUACAUUGUUAUAUCGUGUAAGAACGCUGUACCGCUGUAUAAUUUCAUUGUUAUAUCGUGUAAGAAUGCUGUAUAAUUACAUUGUUAUAUCGUGUAAGAAUGCUGUAUAAUUACAUUGUUAUAUCGUGUAAGAAUGCUGUAUAAUUAGCUUCAGCUAGCUGCCUGGAGGAAGGGCGGUCUGUCUAGCCAUGGAUUCCCAGAGGUUUCAUUUCCCCGACUAACUAAAUGGUCAGGUGGUUUUAUGUUUUUCCUCUCCUGAGUGCUAACGGACCACGCUGGCAUCAAAGCGAGCGAGCAGAGGUGUGCCGAAAAUACAAUUUCUUAUGUGCUGUUGUAUAAUGAAAUUAUUACAAAGUACAACGUUGUUCUUCUGUUGUAUAAUAAAAAUAUUAUAAAGUACAAGAA
Long non-coding RNA from Acipenser ruthenus (sterlet), 1037 nucleotides. RefSeq lists it as uncharacterized. NCBI's taxonomy places the organism in Eukaryota, Metazoa, Chordata, Actinopteri, Acipenseriformes, Acipenseridae. The record is from RefSeq and is a predicted model, not a curated record. The transcript is spliced from 4 exons.